AGCGCCUGCCGGUGGCUAGGGCUGCUGCCGCCACUCCUGCAGUGCCCCCACUGGGGGCGCCAACCUCGCCCCUGAUGGCUCGGCCAGGCGCGAGCCUGCAGGCUCCAAAGCUUGCAGAAAUGGCUGUGGUUCAAAGCUCAGGAGAGCAGACUCCAUAGAAGAAAGAGAACCCACAAUGAGAGAAGAGGCACUUUCCGUGGUGCAUGUACUAGCAUCCUGACUGGAUACAUAAGUCAUCUUCAAAGGCUGCAUGCAACUGUACUGAGGCCCACAUGAAAACAGAAACAGCAGUAGCAACAACAACAACAACAACAAAAACCUGCAGCAUCGAAGAACCAAACAUUAUGCCAGAAAAGACCUUUCUCCCCCCAAAACAACACCCAUAAGUUUGGGGUUUUCGAUCAUAGACAUAACUUAUUGAGUGCCACCAUUAAUUUUAGAACAGUUUGCACAGCUUUAUGAAUUUCUUCAAAAAUAUAGAAACAAAAUCCUGGGACUUAGGGUUAGUGGUUGCAUUCAGGAUUCUGAUGGAACAGCCGGCUAUACAAAGGCUCUAGCUUCUCCUAGGAUUUAUGUAACCAAAGACGUAUCCAGGAUGGCCUUUCUGAAACACAAGUCAGAAUCCCUCCCAUCCCAGCGUAGAAAAGCCCUGAGUGCUGUGUCUUUCUUUGCCCUUCCCUGCCAUUCCACUUGCCCAUGGGCUCUUUGCUUCUUUGAAAUCACAAACUCUUCUCUUGCUUCUUGUAUUCUGCACACACUGCUCUCUCCAUUUCUAGUGUUCUUCCUUGCCCUCCUUCAUUGAAAUUCUAUAUAUUUCUGGUAACUGCUUCUCCUUGAACCUGGGCUGGAUUGGAUAGACUUUCAUUCACUCACAUUGUGACUGUGAUUGCCUGGGUACUUCCCUGUCUCCAUCUGGAUUGUGCAUUGAUUGAUAACUGGAUCUCAGACCCCUCUCUUCAAGUGCAGACUGGACCUAACACAUACUAGGAAUUCAAUAUAGAUUUACUGCUACAUGAGAACAAGUGAUCCUAACUUUCACAUUACGUUUCUUUGCCUUUUGGGGUCACUACCAAAUUUCUGAGUAUGUUAAUAGCAGUGAAAAUUCUGUUGAAAGAUAAAAAGCCCAUGGUACUUCAAACUGCACUAUAUUAAAAACAGUUUUCCUCUUUAAAAAUGGGUGCUAUAUCUAUCUCAUUUGGAUGAAAUAUCAUAGCUUACAAAACGCAUUUUCAGAUUUCAUCUCACAUGUCAGUCACACAAGUUAGGCUGGGGCAGACAUUAAUAUCUUCAUUUUGUAGCUGACAACACAGACCUAGUUAGAUCAACUGACUUGCCCAAAGUCACCCUUGCAAGCACUCAGAGGUAAAGCGAACACCAUCUGACCCAAAGCCAACAGAAUCUGGACUACUCCAGUUUAGAUCUCAAGUUGUCUAUUGCAAACCUACUUAGGAGUAUGAGGCUAAAGGGUCAGCUGAUCUGGGGUGAGCAUGGAAUACACAGUAGCAGAGAACUAACAACUGAAAGUAGAAUUGAUGCUCCUGUAUUUAACGGACACACCAGCUGUCCUUCUAUAAGAUCCCAAGUGACAAGAAUAAAGCAAGUCACC
Molecule: long non-coding RNA, 1606 nt
Filed under: Mus pahari (shrew mouse)
Lineage: Eukaryota; Metazoa; Chordata; Mammalia; Rodentia; Muridae
Description: predicted gene 5432 (MGP_PahariEiJ_G0006304.1)
Source: RNAcentral